CACCUGACCACCACAUAAGGAUGCCAUCACCUCUAUAGAUGAGAGGUUCAACUUUUCCAGAUUGAAGAAGAUUGUUUAAUCGGAAAAUUGGCGAGCACAGAUUUACUCAGUGCCAAAUCAAGAAAAAAAAAGAGCUUGGUCAGCAAAUUAAGAAUGCUGUCCUGGACGUGGGAUAUGUUCAAUACUAAGUUUAAAAACGCUUUCAGUUCAACCAAAGGUAAAGCUGUCAUGCAGGGAAGAAGCCGUGUGAACAUGAUCCAGAAACCAUCCAUCUUCUCUAGGACAAAGCUCUUUAAAAAUGAACUGAGGAGAAGUCGAAAACUGUUCUGUGGUCAGAUGAAUUGAAAUUUGAGAUCCUUUUUCGAGACUAUGCACACAUGCUGUUCCUAUGUUUUGAGCCGUGUUGUGGCCUUCAAUUAUAAAAUUACCUUUUUUUUACUAGAAAAAUUCUACAUUUCCUCAGUGUAAACAUUUGGUUUUUUUUUAUGUUCUACUGUGAAUAAAAUAUGAAUUUGUGAGAUUUGCAAA
Silurus meridionalis is the source of this 528-nucleotide long non-coding RNA. RefSeq lists it as uncharacterized. The transcript has 2 exons. The record is from RefSeq and is a predicted model, not a curated record. NCBI's taxonomy places the organism in Eukaryota, Metazoa, Chordata, Actinopteri, Siluriformes, Siluridae.